GUACACUCCUACGGGAGGCAGCAGUGGGGAAUAUUGCACAAUGGGCGCAAGCCUGAUGCAGCCAUGCCGCGUGUAUGAAGAAGGCCUUCGGGUUGUAAAGUACUUUCAGCGGGGAGGAAGGCGAUAAGGUUAAUAACCUUGUUGAUUGACGUUCCCCGCAGAAGAAGCACCGGCUAACUCCGUGCCAGCAGCCGCGGUAAUACGGAGGGUGCAAGCGUUAAUCGGAAUUACUGGGCGUAAAGCGCACGCAGGCGGUCUGUCAAGUCGGAUGUGAAAUCCCCGGGCUCAACCUGGGAACUGCAUUCGAAACUGGCAGGCUAGAGUCUUGUAGAGGGGGGUAGAAUUCCAGGUGUAGCGGUGAAAGACGUAGAGAUCUGGAGGAAUACCGGUGGCGAAGGCGGCCCCCUGGACAAAGACUGACGCUCAGGUGCGAAAGCGUGGGGAGCAAACAGGAUUAGAAACCCCAGUAGUCCCAUGA
This 478-nucleotide ribosomal RNA is filed under the name uncultured organism. Its description in RNAcentral is "partial 16S ribosomal RNA". It matches the Rfam family "Bacterial small subunit ribosomal RNA", at positions 331 to 800 of the family's 1533-position model. The record is from RNAcentral.